This is a long non-coding RNA of Myxocyprinus asiaticus (Chinese sucker), 1254 nucleotides long. RefSeq lists it as uncharacterized. Lineage: Eukaryota; Metazoa; Chordata; Actinopteri; Cypriniformes; Catostomidae. The transcript has 4 exons. The record is from RefSeq and is a predicted model, not a curated record.
GUUCAAACCACAAGUGGAUUCAUUUAGUUUUACCAGAAACUGCUGCAUCACUGUAAUGUACGGAAGAAGUCUGCCCCCGUCAGACACUUUGCAUUGGCAGCACAUGCUUCAGUUGUCUGGGAGUUUUUAAUAGUUCAGUGAGUUUGAAGACUGAAGACUGAGAACUUCUUCAUCCAGAAUCUAAAUCCACAGUAAUCAUGACUGUCAUCACCAUCUUCAUCUGGAUGUUAACUAGCUGCUGUUUUAGAGAAUCAAGAGGUUCAGUGACAGUCACUCAAACACCUGCAGUGAAAUCUGUUCAUCUCAGGGACACAUUUACUAUCUCGCCAUACAGUGAACCAGACGCUGCUAAUGAAAAAGUCUUUUAUACAAGCUCCAUUAUCAUAGAACUGUAUGAGUGGUUUGAGGAACCAGAUCAGUACAUGAUUGGAGAAACUGGAACCAUGUCAGACCUUAAAAAAGGCACUUAUCAAGAACCACAGAGGUCAACUAGAUGAGAAGUUGACACAAGCUGAUGCUGCAAACAAUGCCUUCACCAUAGUGUCAACCACAGAGAUCUCCAUUCCUACAUUCAUCCAGAAUUUUAAAGCCUGUGCUCCUUUUGAAUGUUGUUUCAGAAUAUUUUGCUGCAUUAUAUAAAAGUGGUCAUGCAGCUUAGAGCUCAAGUUAAUUGAUUUCAGUUUACAUGAGCUUGUUAUAUUUCAGACCAUACAGUAAAACAGAAGAUAAGUUGACUUUUGUGUUACAUUGCAAUAAGUCACUGGAGGAAAAAUGAUGAUGAAAGCCAGUUUCCUGUGGAAGAGAUCCCCGGUUCAUCUGGCCUGAACCAAACAGAUGUAGAUCAAACUCGUUUCAAGCCAAAUGAAGGCAAAUCUACAGUUCAGUCCUGUUUUUAUUCUAUUUUUUUCCCUUUGCCAACUACGUCCUGCUCCUUCGGAUUUCAGAAUGUACUUUCUUUAAGAUCCAUAUUCUUUAAAAUGAAUGUGGGGUUACUUCUACUUAUGAAGAAGCUUCCUGUCAGUGCAUGAUAUUGAUCUAUGAAAGGUUUGAAGAGCCACAGCAGAACAUCAUGAAUCUGGAGAGACCAAAACAGUGUCAGACCAUAAGGGACUUUAUCAAGAACCACAGAAGUCAACUAGAUAGAGAAGUUAGCACAUUUGCCUUCAGCAUGGUGCCCACCACAAGGAUCUGCAUUCAGGCAGAUCCCUGCUCAGAAGAGGGAUAUUUUUCUCGUUUUUUAUUUUUAAUAAAUUU